Molecule: ribosomal RNA, 103 nt
Filed under: Jaculus jaculus (lesser Egyptian jerboa)
Lineage: Eukaryota; Metazoa; Chordata; Mammalia; Rodentia; Dipodidae
Source: RNAcentral
GUCUAGUGUCAUACCACCUGAGUGCUCCCAAUGUCAUCCGAGCUUAGAAGCUAAGCAUGGUUGGGUCAGCAUAGUACUUGGAUAGGAGACAAACUUACAGGUU